This is a long non-coding RNA of Mugil cephalus (flathead mullet), 341 nucleotides long. RefSeq lists it as uncharacterized. The transcript is spliced from 3 exons. The record is from RefSeq and is a predicted model, not a curated record. Lineage: Eukaryota; Metazoa; Chordata; Actinopteri; Mugiliformes; Mugilidae.
AAAUAAGAGAGGACACGACAAUAAAGAACCAAGACAGAAAAAGAAUAAGAAGGAGCCAGAGAGGACGUGUUCUGGAUGAACGCUACGUACUUGCCGUGACCUGCAUUCAAACCUGGGUUACUGCGACCACAGCGCAGGGUGCUAACCUCUACACGAUCACGGCUGCUUGAUACCUUGGUCGUGAAAUCAAGAAGAGACAAUUAUGUGAAGAUGAAACAAGAGGAACACGAAAAAAAAGAAGAAACACAACCAAAAGACAAAAGGAGGUUACACGGAAAAAUAUGAAAGACUGGAGAAACAACAAUAUGAUGAGAGAAGAAGAAAUAACCAAGAGGAUGUGA